ACUACUGAUGUUACCCAGUCCUGGCCAGCAGAACCCUGUAGGGAAGUUCUGAGAAGUUUUCCUCCCUGAUAAAAGAAACGCACUUGAAAAGCUGAAAAACUGCCUUUCCCCCUCUUUUCUAUCUUUGGAUGCUACUGUGUGAAGACACGAUGCCUUGAGCUGCAACAGCCAUCCUGUAACCACGAGCAGACAAGGCUGGGGAUGAAAGCCGACUUGCUGAGCAGGGAUGUAGAAAGUUGCAUGAGAACGUCAUGGGAAUGAGAAGAAGCAGGAUAACCAACAAAAAUCAGAGCUUUAUUAUUUAAGCUCAUCUGAGAGCUGAAAUCACAAAGCAAUCUAAUGAACCAAAUGCAGAUGGAAAUCAAGCCCUCCGAGGAAAGACGAGACCCAUGGCUAAUUCAUCUUUGGCAGGAGAGAGAGAGGAGGGAGCUCUCCUAGACACAGAAUCACCCUUGGAACUUUCUUCAUGAAGGGAAAUUCCCUACUGCAGCUCUACCAAACUAUUGUGAAUGGCUUGAAUUUAACUGACUGCAGAGUUGGCCAACCCUGCUACAUGGUUCUGACCAUGAUUUGAUUGCCAUUCCCCUCAACCUUAUUAUAAAGUAUAUCAGAAAUAGCAGGGAAUGAUCCCAGGUCCUCCAUCUCCCAUGGAAAACACUUGUUAUCACAUCUGGCUAUCUUUCCCACUACCUUUCUCAGUCAUUCUGUGGAGCAAACAAAUGCCACCCAGCUGGGGGUGAGGAUAAACAGCACAGAUUGGAGUAUCUCUCCUCAGAGGGUCUCACCAAAAACAUGGAAUAGACUCAACUACUUGAACUGAACUGGGAAGUGUAAGACCUACCAAUCAGCUAGGAGACUACAUUGGAGACACUAUAAUCUCCUUGACUCAUGUAGGUCCCACUUGGAGGGGCCCCAAAUUUGUAAGCAUCAUUUUCUUUCCAGGUAGCACAUGUGCCCCCGAAAUGAUGCUUUGUGCAUUGAAGCCAGCACUAACUUGCUUCCCUCCUGAAAAUACUGUGAUUUGUACCUUAGGAUAGUUAUAUGGGACCUUCAUGUAUUUAAGGAAAUGUAAUAAGUAGAUCAUGUAUCUGUCAGAUGACUGCAGAGACCUCUCCAAAAUGAGACUAUACUUGGUUACUUGAAAGGAUUCCCCAAAGGGAAAACUGUCUAAUUAUUUAUCUCUAUGAUGGAUUCAUCCAAUUCCAACUUGUAUGAUAUUUGUCCCUGAUUUUGGCUGAAGUAAUCAGUGGCAUCACUUUAGACCUGGAAGAGAUGCAAGUCUGCGUCAACUCACUGGUUGGCAUUGUAAUGGAUGAUAGAAUUGCACUAGACUUCCUCUUUGUAGGCCAAGACAGAGGUCUAUGUAACCACUAAUAUGUUAAGUUAUCCCUGAGCCAUGUGGAAAGGUCAAUACAGAAAUGGAAAAAGCCUCUGGAAUAUCAGGGUAUGCCCUGGUUCAGCUGGCUUGACUGAAACCAUGGGAAGAGGAGCAUGGUUGUGGUUAAUGCUGUAGGCUGACCUUAUCCUAGUGUUUGGAACCCUGUUCACAGUAGCCUUAUCAAAUGUUGUAUAAGAGAAAUAAACAUAUUUUGUUCUAACCUCUGUUGGUCAGAUUAAUCAGAGUAAUCAACAGGAUGUUAUACUCAUGGAAAAAUUUACCAGAAGCCAAUAUGGCAUAAAAAGUGGAGCUCCAUAUGAGUGGAAUAAUUCCCUGCAGGUUUCGUGUUUCCCUGUGCUAUGUGACCAGAGGCACUGACAGCCUUAGUAUCAAACUAUCUUUU
Equus caballus (horse) is the source of this 1781-nucleotide non-coding RNA. Lineage: Eukaryota; Metazoa; Chordata; Mammalia; Perissodactyla; Equidae. The record is from RefSeq and is a predicted model, not a curated record.